CUAAGGAACGUGGCGGAGAGCGCCCUGGCCAUGCCGGGGAAGAGCUUCCUCUGUGUCCUAUGAACAUUGCCGCCGUCCUCAUGUCCCUUCAUCACUAGGUUAGUUUGCGAGACGAAAUAGCGUUAGCUAUUUUGCACGCAAACAAGUUCGGCCAGCGCGGCGAAGCGCGCCACAAGGCGCAGCUUUGCUGCGACUGACGGCGCAAGCGGGUGCGGGCCGGUAGCUCAGGUGGUUAGAGCGCACGCCUGAUAAGCGUGAGGUCGUAGGUUCAACUCCUACUCGGCCCACCAUCGUGCGUAGUGGCUGGCCCACGCCGCCGGACGCGGCAAAGCCGCGUCCUCUGGCGCAGGCUCUGCCCCGCCGAUCGUGCUUGUCGCUUCGCGAAAUAGCGGAGCUAUUUCGUCGUGCGACUGCGCAUGGGGCCUUAGCUCAGCUGGGAGAGCGGUUGCUUUGCAAGCAUCAGGUCAUCGGUUCGAUCCCGAUAGGCUCCACCACGCGCACUAAAACCUAGGGAUGAAGACACGAGAUCCGCGGCGACAAGCCGCGGUACCAGGAGCGAGACGCUCCUCUUUGACAUUGUGAAUGGGUUCUUAAAAUCGAUGCCGUGAAGGUAUCGGCUUUGAGCGAGGCAGGCGGGACCGCAAGGUUCGGCCAGGCCAAGCGACAGAAAGCCGGUUCAUUUCACUUAAUAUCUGGCUGAGAUAAAAUCCCCGCACCGAAUGCCCAUGCGACGCUGCCCUUGCCGAGUCGAUGGCCUUUUGGUCAUCCAGCGUUGAUGUUGGUGGUGUGGGCU
Molecule: transfer RNA, 793 nt
Filed under: rice phyllosphere bacterium E
Lineage: Bacteria
Description: 16S-23S intergenic spacer
Rfam family: tRNA (bases 214-287)
Source: RNAcentral